RNAcentral lists this unclassified non-coding RNA (336 nucleotides) under soil metagenome. RNAcentral's name for it is "partial contains 5.8S ribosomal RNA, internal transcribed spacer 2, and large subunit ribosomal RNA". The stretch from base 1 to 120 matches the Rfam family "5.8S ribosomal RNA", at positions 35 to 154 of the family's 154-position model. The record is from RNAcentral.
GAUGAAGAACGUAGCGAAAUGCGAUACGUAAUGUGAAUUGCAGAAUUCAGUGAAUCAUCGAAUCUUUGAACGCACAUUGCGCCCGCCAGUAUUCUGGCGGGCAUGUCUGUUCGAGCGUCAUUUCAACCAUCAAGCCCCCGGCUUGUGUUGGGGACCUGCGGCUGCCGCAGGCCCUGAAAAGCAGUGGCGGGCUCGCUGUCACACCGAGCGUAGUAGCAUACAUCUCGCUCUGGGCGUGCUGCGGGUUCCGGCCGUUAAACCACCUUCAUAACCCAAGGUUGACCUCGGAUCAGGUAGGAAGACCCGCUGAACUUAAGCAUAUCAAUAAGCGGAGGA